AUCGCUUCUCAGCCUUUUGGCUAAGAUCAAGUGUAGCAUUUAACAAUUAUACUGUAUUUCAAGUUUAUAUAUAUAUGUGUGUGUGUGUGUGUGUGUGUGUGUGUGCAAGUUACUUAAGACUCUCAAACUGGCUUGCAUUCC
Molecule: small nuclear RNA, 141 nt
Filed under: Heterocephalus glaber (naked mole-rat)
Lineage: Eukaryota; Metazoa; Chordata; Mammalia; Rodentia; Bathyergidae
Description: U2 spliceosomal RNA (ENSHGLG00000036927.1)
Rfam family: U2 spliceosomal RNA
About the family: U2 is a small nuclear RNA (snRNA) component of the spliceosome (involved in pre-mRNA splicing). Complementary binding between U2 snRNA (in an area lying towards the 5' end but 3' to hairpin I) and the branchpoint sequence (BPS) of the intron results the bulging out of an unpaired adenosine, on the BPS, which initiates a nucleophilic attack at the intronic 5' splice site, thus starting the first of two transesterification reactions that mediate splicing.
Source: RNAcentral